CAUCUCUGUUGUGUAUAUUUUGGUUUGAUUUGUUCUAUCCUGUAGCACUUCACUGGAAACCAAUCACUAAUUGUAAUGCGUGUUUAUCUAUACUUACAAUAACAAUAUAAUAAUUCAAAUUUGCUUUGUACUUUCAGGAAGCCAAAAGAACAACCUAUCCCAAAUUAAAAAGAAAUAAUAGUUAACAGUAUAUUUAGGUUCCUGGAAUUGUCUUUGCAAGAGGACCUGCAUUGCUGUGUUGAUUCUACUGAGCAGGUUAGAUUUAUUGGAAAUUUUGUUUGGAACCUCCAACUGGAAUGCUAGAUGACGAAAAAGGUGAUUUUGUUGGCACCGCAGUCUGUGAGCUUCUAUUCCAGAAAAGAAUUGUCCGAGUAGGCCGGGUAACUCAGUUUUGCCGGAGAUUAGGCAGCAUUGAGUAGGUAAUCUUUAUUUGGAAUCUUACAUGAGCAUAAUUUAGUCCUCUUGAGAGGCUAGCCCUGCAAGAUCGGUGCUGGACUGGGGAGCGUCGGCGACGCCACAACCUUCAGCAGUCAGCGGAGUGCGCCCUCUGCGCGCAGGAGGACGAGUCCAUCGACCACCUCCUGCUUGGUUGCGUCUUUAGCAGGGAGGUUUGGUUCAGGACUCUAAACCCGUUGGAUUUGGCCGCUCUAGCUCCCUUGCCGGUAGAUUCACUUGCAGAUUGGUAGCUUGCAGCUCGGAAGCAGGUCCCAAAGGCGCAUCAGAAAGGGUUUGACUCCCUUGUCACCCUCGUCUGCUGUCUGCUGGUCGCUUUGGAAGGAGCGUAAUAGUCGUGUCUUUGAGGGUAGAUCGGAGCAGCCGUCUGUGGUUUGCUCCAAGGUAGCGAGCGAGAUCUCAGUGUGGGUCUUAGCUGGUUUUGUGUCCCUUAGGUCGCUCAGCGUUGUUGUGUAAUUAAACCUUAAAGAUAGGGGGCGGCGCUCGGCGCCGUGUAAUACUCUUAAGUGCCAGGAUCACUUAGGUGAUCUUAGUACUUGGUCGCUCUCUUUCCGCUUAAUGAAAUAACAUGCUUCGGCACGUUCGCGAAAAAAAGAUAUGAAAAAUGUGACCAACUGUGAUAUGGAGCAUCAACCGAAUUACAAGUUGCUGAUUUUUGCAAAUUCAGUCUGUAGCUGCAUCUGCCAACAUUCAUGCAAAGCUUUUGAUUUCGUGGUAAAGUUGGAAGGGUUAAAGCAUCAUGCUACUUGGCAUUUCUGAGAAGUUCGCUUGUAGCGGCAGCCAUGUGGUUUUCAGAAGUGCCGGGAAGCUUUUCCGAGCUUGACGGGAGCCACCGACCACCAGGAUGCCAGCAACAUCGACGUCCACUUGCCCAAGCUAAAGCCCCAAGGUGAGAGAGGGCGUGGACAACACGGGGGCUGCUCGACUUCCUUGCCGUGCGCAGGGACAAGGCAAUGCUGUGGUGCAGCACGUCAAGGAAAGGGGCUAUGCUCGCCACCAGCGAGGAGGCUCAGGUUCAAUGAUAAUUUCCCCUGCGCGAGCCAUGCCAGGAAGAUAUUUGUCGAUAGGGAUAAAAGAGGUUUAUAUAUGACAACUGUAUGCACAUUUCGUAGUAAUGAAUUUUGUUCUCUGUUGGACUCUUCAGUUUCAUACAGUAUUGGUGGUCAACAAGAUAUAUGUUGUUAGUAACAUAGCUGUUGUUUGAACAAAUAUGACUACUGAAUAUGCAUGAAACUCACUUAAGAAUCGCAAACUUGAGCCUUCA
Molecule: long non-coding RNA, 1717 nt
Organism: Panicum virgatum (switchgrass)
Lineage: Eukaryota; Viridiplantae; Streptophyta; Magnoliopsida; Poales; Poaceae
Exons: 6
Source: RefSeq, a predicted model, not a curated record